GAUGAAGAACGUAGCGAAAUGCGAUACGUAAUGUGAAUUGCAGAAUUCAGUGAAUCAUCGAGUCUUUGAACGCACAUUGCGCCCCCUGGUAUUCCGGGGGGCAUGCCUGUCCGAGCGUCAUUGCUGCCCUCAAGCACGGCUUGUGUGUUGGGCCUCCGUCCUCCUCCCGGGGGACGGGCCUGAAAGGCAGCGGCGGCACCGCGUCCGGUCCUCGAGCGUAUGGGGCUUCGUCACCCGCUCUUGUAGGCCCGGCCGGCGCUUGCCGACACAUCAAUCUUUUUUCCAGGUUGACCUCGGAUCAGGUAGGGAUACCCGCUGAACUUAAGCAUAUCAAUAAGCGGAGGA
This 345-nucleotide unclassified non-coding RNA is filed under the name soil metagenome. RNAcentral describes it as "partial contains 5.8S ribosomal RNA, internal transcribed spacer 2, and large subunit ribosomal RNA". The stretch from base 1 to 120 matches the Rfam family "5.8S ribosomal RNA", at positions 35 to 154 of the family's 154-position model. The record is from RNAcentral.